This 465-nucleotide ribosomal RNA is filed under the name uncultured bacterium. RNAcentral's name for it is "partial 16S ribosomal RNA". It matches the Rfam family "Bacterial small subunit ribosomal RNA", at positions 338 to 795 of the family's 1533-position model. The record is from RNAcentral.
CCUACGGGUGGCAGCAGUAGGGAAUCUUCGGCAAUGGACGAAAGUCUGACCGAGCAACGCCGCGUGAGUGAAGACGGUUUUAGGAUCGUAAAACUCUGUUGGUAGAGAAGAACGUUGGUGAGCGUGGAAAGCUCAUCAAGUGACGGUAACUACCCAGAAGGGGACGGCUAACUACGUGCCAGCAGCCGCGGUAAUACGUAGGUCCCGAGCGUUGUCCGGAUUUAUUGGGCGUAAAGCGAGCGGAGGUGGUUUAUUAAGUCUGGGGUAAAAGGCAGGGGCUAAACCAUUGUAUGAAAUGGAAACUGGUAGACUUGAGUGCAGGAGAGGAGAGUGGAAUGCGAUGGGUAGCGGUGAAAUGCGUAGAUAUAUGGAGGAACACCGGUGGCGAAAGCGGCUCUCUGGCCUGUAACUGACACUGAGGCUCGAGAGCGUGGGUAGCAAACAGGAUUAGAUACCCGGGUAGUC